UACGGAGGGUGCGAGCGUUGUUCGGAAUCACUGGGCGUAAAGCGCGUGUAGGCGGCCAUCUAAGUCUGGUGUGAAAGCCCUGGGCUCACCCCAGGAAGUGCAUUGGAUACUGGAUGGCUGGAGUACCGGAGAGGAGGGUGGAAUUCCUGGUGUAGCGGUGAAAUGCGUAGAUAUCAGGAGGAACACCGGUGGCGAAGGCGUCCCUCUGGCCGGAUACUGACGCUGAGACGCGAAAGCGUGGGGAGCAAACAGG
Molecule: ribosomal RNA, 253 nt
Filed under: uncultured bacterium
Lineage: Bacteria
Description: partial 16S ribosomal RNA
Rfam family: Bacterial small subunit ribosomal RNA
Source: RNAcentral